RNAcentral lists this long non-coding RNA (215 nucleotides) under Phoenix dactylifera (date palm). RNAcentral's name for it is "long non-coding RNA (PDAC_LNC011593)". The record is from RNAcentral. Lineage: Eukaryota; Viridiplantae; Streptophyta; Magnoliopsida; Arecales; Arecaceae.
GAGGAGUCAAGUUUGGAAGAGGAAGAUCAUCAAGAGACGGCCCAAAUAUGUCAUAUGGCCAAUGACGAUGAGGUAGAUUCUGAACUUGAAUGUGAUUUUACUGUUGAUGAAUUACAUGAUGCAUUUUUAGAACUCAUGGAAGAACACAAAAAACUAAUCAAUAAAAAUAAAGUUCUAAAAGAAGAAAAUCAAUCUCUUAUCAAAGAUAAGCUGAA